Molecule: ribosomal RNA, 253 nt
Filed under: uncultured bacterium
Lineage: Bacteria
Description: partial 16S ribosomal RNA
Rfam family: Bacterial small subunit ribosomal RNA
Source: RNAcentral
UACGAAGGGGGCUAGCGUUGCUCGGAAUCACUGGGCGUAAAGGGUGCGUAGGCGGGUUCUUAAGUCAGGGGGGAAAUCCUGGAGCUCAACUCCAGAACUGCCUUUGAUACUGAGAAGCUUGAGUCCGGGAGAGGUGAGUGGAACUGCGAGUGUAGAGGUGAAAUUCGUAGAUAUUCGCAAGAACACCAGUGGCGAAGGCGGCUCACUGGCCCGGUACUGACGCUGAGGUGCGAAAGCGUGGGGAGCAAACAGG